Molecule: ribosomal RNA, 633 nt
Filed under: uncultured bacterium
Lineage: Bacteria
Description: bacterial SSU rRNA
Rfam family: Bacterial small subunit ribosomal RNA (bases 1-541)
Source: RNAcentral
CCUACGGGAGGCAGCAGUGGGGAAUUUUGGACAAUGGACGCAAGUCUGAUCCAGCCAUGCCGCGUGCGGGAAGAAGGCCUUCGGGUUGUAAACCGCUUUUGUCAGGGAAGAAACGAGUUUCUCUAAUACAGAGACUUAAUGACGGUACCUGAAGAAUAAGCACCGGCUAACUACGUGCCAGCAGCCGCGGUAAUACGUAGGGUGCAAGCGUUAAUCGGAAUUACUGGGCGUAAAGCGUGCGCAGGCGGUUAUGCAAGCAGAUGUGAAAUCCCCGGGCUCAACCUGGGAACUGCAUUUGUGACUGCAUGGCUAGAGUACGGUAGAGGGGGAUGGAAUUCCGCGUGUAGCAGUGAAAUGCGUAGAUAUGCGGAGGAACACCGAUGGCGAAGGCAAUCCCCUGGACCUGUACUGACGCUCAUGCACGAAAGCGUGGGGAGCAAACAGGAUUAGAUACCCUGGUAGUCCACGCCCUAAACGAUGUCAACUGGUUGUUGGGAGGGUUUCUUCUCAGUAACGAAGCUAACGCGUGAAGUUGACCGCCUGGGGGAGGUACGGCCGCGAGGUAGAACGUACGAAAGUAGAAGUUAGUACGGCGUGAGACGUAGACCGACGGACGACGACGAGGGGAGGAGG